This is a non-coding RNA of Pelobates cultripes (western spadefoot toad), 244 nucleotides long. NCBI's taxonomy places the organism in Eukaryota, Metazoa, Chordata, Amphibia, Anura, Pelobatidae. The record is from the annotation of a GenBank genome assembly.
CUGCCUCUAAUCUGAAGGGAAAAACAAAAAAUUUACUUACCGUAAAUUUAUUUUUCCUGAAGAUUAGAGGCAGUGCUAUAAUCCCCCCUCCCCUCCCACACCUUUUAUUUUUUUUCUUUCUAAUAAACUCGGAAUUGUGCAUGUAACCGGCUUGUGUAUUUUCUGGGGUUGUUUUUGGUAAGCUGACAUUUAUAGGAAGGUGCUCAAUAAGGGGGAGGGUUUUUAAAAAGUUUGGAGAAUUGCC